AUUGAACGCUGGCGGCAGGCCUAACACAUGCAAGUCGAACGAGUGGCGGACGGGUGAGUAAUGUCUGGGAAACUGCCUGAUGGAGGGGGAUAACUACUGGAAACGGUAGCUAAUACCGCAUACCAUCGGAUGUGCCCAGAUGGGAUUAGCUAGUAGGUGGGGUAAAGGCUCACCUAGGCGACGAUCCCUAGCUGGUCUGAGAGGAUGAUCAGCCACACUGGGACUGAGACACGGUCCAGACUCCUACGGUAGGCAGCAGUGGGGAAUAUUGCACAAUGGGCGCAAGCCUGAUGCAGCCAUGCCGCGUGUAUGAAGAAGGCCUUCGGGUUGUAAAGUACUUUCAGCCGGGAGGCGUUACCCACAGAAGAAGCACCGGCUAACUCCGUGCCAGCAGCCGCGGUAAUUC
Molecule: ribosomal RNA, 406 nt
Filed under: uncultured bacterium
Lineage: Bacteria
Description: partial 16S ribosomal RNA
Rfam family: Bacterial small subunit ribosomal RNA
Source: RNAcentral